Molecule: long non-coding RNA, 1899 nt
Organism: Mus musculus (house mouse)
Lineage: Eukaryota; Metazoa; Chordata; Mammalia; Rodentia; Muridae
Product: predicted gene, 31359
Exons: 4
Source: RefSeq, a predicted model, not a curated record
UGCAGCUAAUGGCUCUAGGAUCUCCUUGGAGCUGACCCCUGACUUCCCAGCUCCUGACUCAACACACACUACUCUGAUACCUCUUGGCAUGACUCAACUUCCUCAUUAUUGCUUUUCUUCCUCCUCAAUCUUCACUGUGAUAUGGAAACAAGAACAAAAGACAGCCAAAGGGAGGCAGAAAGACUGGAGAAAGAGUACAAGGUAUGUUCUCUGAUAGUUGUUGCUUGGGGCCAAGUGCAAGUGAUCUCCACAUUCCAUAGAAAUGGCUCCUGAUUGACCACAAGAGCUGCUGUGCCUCAGGACACUACAAAAGAGAAGAAAUUGCAGCUUUCUACAUCCCUCAGGGUAUUAACUCCAAAACUGUGAGUUGUCCAUAUGUGGGCACCAAGCAUAUCCUGUGGCACCUGCUACUUGGCACAGGUAGGGAAGCCUGAGGUGUGAGGGGGGAAGGCAUAUGGUAUGCUGUGUAGGGAGGUAUUGCCAGGUUGUGCCUACAUAACCCUGGUGGGAGCCCCCAUAGAGCCAAUGUUCUGUGGCAAUUGGAGCAGAAUAAGAGGGAAAAACUCUGGAAACAGAAGAAACGGAAAGGAUUGAAGAUGCUGCAGAUGAAUUGUCUGGUCCUGAAGCAAAGACCAGGGGGAGGGAACUCAUCAAAAUGAUAUCUGAAUAUAGGUUAGAAACAGUCUGAUUAUCUGAAGGAUGAACAUUUAGGGCAGAAAGAAGGGCAAAACCAAGCUUAGUUGGAGAACACACACACACACACACACACACACACACACACACACACACACACAUAAUAUGCUCAAGGGAUGGAGAUAGGGGAUGCCAGGGCAGCAUCAAUGAUCUGAAGGGGAAGGAAGGUAGGAGGAGAGGAUGCUAGGCAAGCUUCUGGUGGUUGGCUCAUGUGAAGUUACAUGUUGCAGGAGGAAGUUUGGUUUUAUUUCAGCUUUCCUUUCAGGAACCCAGUGGGCACUGGUGGCUACGGGCUUCGUUGAAGGAAGUAUGUCACUGUGGGCAUGGGUAAUGAGACCCUGCUUCUAACCAUAUGAGAGCCAGUCUUUUCCUAGCUGAUUUUGGAACAAGACGUAGAACUCUCGGCUCCUCCAGUGCCAUGCCUGCCUAGAUGUUGCCAUGCUUCCUGCCAUAAUGAUAAUGGACUGAACUUCUGAAUCUAUACCCUUCUAUUUUGACCUGCAUAUCUCAACUUUCAAGACAUGGCUUCUUCCCCCAGAGAAGACGUCUCUCUGUGGUAUACACUAUCUGUUAGGAUGAGCAGAGAACCUGUUAGUGACAGAGUUGGUAAAUAGUUGCUCCCAGCCUCGGGGCCCCCUCUGGCUGCAGUUGGCAUUUAUAAAGUGGAUGUGGAUGGAACGCCCCUUAGGUCUCACUCAGGACUGGGCCCUGAGCCCCAUCUCUCAGCUCCUCUUUAGAAAUUACUGAACGAACCUUAUCAUUUGCUGGACAUUAUGUUCAGCACCUUGUAAUUGUCAACUCGUUUAGUUCUCAUAGCAACCCCGCUGACGUAGGUACCAUUAUCACCUGCAUUCCACAAGGUCAACAUUGUCCCUGAGCCCACAGCUCAUGGUACAGAGACAGAAGCCCUGCCAUGUAGUCUGGUCAAAUCUUACCUACAAGGCAUUGUUUUAGACUCUGCAACUAAGACUACCCAGCAGUUCACAUAUCCUUGGGGCUUUCCCCAUGACAAGGCUAGAUGAGGGGCUGAGUACUAGUAAGCAUCCUGUGAUUUUUGUCCCUCCCAUGAGGUGCCCCAGUCCACGGUACCUACUUUGCACUUAGUGAAUGUGUUUUCACUACAUUUCCUCACCUCCACCAGCUGGGCCGCUAUGUUCUCUGUGGUAUAAGUUGUAGAAUAAACAGUUUUGCUUUUUUCUUUUUGCA